This 124-nucleotide small RNA is filed under the name Arabidopsis thaliana (thale cress). RNAcentral describes it as "ATSL149780". Lineage: Eukaryota; Viridiplantae; Streptophyta; Magnoliopsida; Brassicales; Brassicaceae. The record is from RNAcentral.
UAUUAUAGCUCCAACAAAUACAUCCUAUACUAUUAUUUGGAAAGUACAUAAUAAAAAAUAACCUUAUUUUUUGUAAGUAAUUACAUAGGUAUGCCAUUAGAAAUAAAAUUUUAAAGAGUUAAUU